GAGUAAUACGUGAGUAACCUGCCUUUGACUCUGGGAUAANNCUGGGAAACUGGGUCUAAUACCGGAUAUGACAAGGAACCGCAUGGUUUUUUGUGGAAAGGGUUUGUACUGGUUUUAGAUGGGCUCACGGCCUAUCAGCUUGUUGGUGGGGUAAUGGCUCACCAAGGCGACGACGGGUAGCCGGCCUGAGAGGGUGACCGGCCACACUGGGACUGAGACACGGCCCAGACUCCUACGGGAGGCAGCAGUGGGGAAUAUUGCACAAUGGGCGCAAGCCUGAUGCAGCGACGCCGCGUGAGGGAUGACGGCCUUCGGGUUGUAAACCUCUUUCAGCAGGGAAGAAGCGAAAGUGACGGUACCUGCAGAAGAAGCGCCNGGCUAACUACGUGCCAGCAGCCGCGGUAAUACGUANGGCGCGAGCGUUGUCCGGAAUUAUUGGGCGUAAAGAGCUUGUAGGCCGGUUNGUUGCGUCUGCUGUG
RNAcentral lists this ribosomal RNA (479 nucleotides) under uncultured Kocuria sp. Its description in RNAcentral is "bacterial SSU rRNA". It matches the Rfam family "Bacterial small subunit ribosomal RNA", at positions 108 to 596 of the family's 1533-position model. The record is from RNAcentral. Lineage: Bacteria; Bacillati; Actinomycetota; Actinomycetes; Micrococcales; Micrococcaceae.